This 25-nucleotide microRNA is filed under the name Equus caballus (horse). Its description in RNAcentral is "eca-miR-8972". Lineage: Eukaryota; Metazoa; Chordata; Mammalia; Perissodactyla; Equidae. The record is from miRBase by way of RNAcentral.
UGCCCUUGGAUACAGUCGGAGACAA